Molecule: long non-coding RNA, 17116 nt
Filed under: Xyrichtys novacula (pearly razorfish)
Lineage: Eukaryota; Metazoa; Chordata; Actinopteri; Labriformes; Labridae
Source: RNAcentral
UUGUUGUUUGCGAUACCAGUUGUAAACAACGCAUUGGGCAGUACAACAUAUAUCACUUAUUUAACUUCACAAAAACAAAACAUCUUGGAUAAUGACAUUGUCAUCAAGUCAAGGUUGGUGAAGAUCGUCCGACUUUCUGAGCUGAAAAUCUGAUUACAGGGGGGCGUUCCAGAUGAAUUUCCGACUCGGAGCUCAGAUAUCCCAACUUCCAAGUACAACAGGAAUGCAGCAUAAUGGCUAAAACCCACAGGAUCUGGAACGGCGGCGCUUCACUCCAGCACGGCAGGCGGAUCAAAUACUGAUCGGCGGAUCUCACUCAAUAAAGGAAACAUGGGAGAUGUCGUCCAGUCUCGUGAGAAAUAUCGGUAAUCUUGCGAGUGCUUCCAGCGGACGUCGUAUGCUUGCGUAUUUGAUCUGCCUCCUGAUCCGGGGCAGAGUGGAGCCAUUCCGGAUCCAGUGGGAUCCCCGGGUAAGACUUGACUUUGGAACGACUAGGAGGCCUCCUCAAAUUUAAAGAUUCAGACCGGUUCAUUGGGGUUUAUAAUUCUGUAAGGUAGCUUGGAUCCCCAGAAGUGCUUUAAAAGUGAUGAACAAAAUCUGAAACUCAAUCGUAAAACUGACAGGGAGCCAGUGAAGGGACACUUAAUAACUGUUAAACUGUUAAAAACGUAUUACGAGAAGGUGAAGAAUGAGAUUGAGGUUAGUCCUCAUCCUCAAAAUGAAGGUUGUAGACCCGUUUGUCAUUAUUUCAGAGCUGCAGGUAAGUGUCUCAGAGUUAGACUUCUUUAUGCAAUCACUCUUAAAUAACAGUGGACGGUAGAAAUGAUCAAUUUUUAUAAAACUACUGUUGUACUCGUGCUUCUAAAACUGGUGUGAGCGAGUCACAAAUCCAAUCCAAAUUGGUCUUUUUUUACUAUAACCCUGCAGUGUAAUGUAUGUACAUAUCUUUUCACCAGAGGAGUAAUUCAAAGCUCUUCGAUUCUUCUUAGACAGACACUGUGCAUCCAAUUUUCUACAAAAGCAUAAAAGCCUGUUUUAUAUAAACAAUAUCACCCUGAAUAUUAACAGCCAGAACUGUUUACCUGUUCGAUGUGAGAGGACGUAGAGAACAAAACAGUUCACUCAUUUGAAAAAGUUCUGGGCAAAUGAUCUGCACGUACUGCUAUUCUGUUAUUUCACACCUGAACUGAGGCGAACGCAGCCAGAAAUGAAAAAUAUGUUUUUCACUGAAUAUGACAAAAAGAGAAAGUCUGCGUCAUGAUGCUUUCAAAUGCAUGCUGUAUUGUUUUUUAUAAGUAAGUAGCACUUUGCAUGCAGAGGGAUCCUUGAAACAAUGUCAGGAGGAUCUGCUCUUUCCGGCUCAUGAAUGCAUCAUUUACUCUUGUACAUAAAUGAACUGAGCAACCUUUGACCUUAGGGGAAACAAAACUGUCAGCCAGAUUUAACUGCAAACUGAAGUUCCCAAUUUGCACACCAAGUGUUCACACUACAAAUAAAAGCAUUAAUUUCAACUGAUUUAACAUCCAGCAUGAUCAAAUGUGACGCCAACAUGCUUGAAUCGAGUCAGAAGAUCACCAUGCGUUCACCACAUAAUGUGCAAAAGAUGCUGCAAUACCUAAUUGCACCUGUGGGGGCAGUGUUGCACCUCAGUUGGAUCUGAAGAAAUGAUAAAAAGAGGAGGACAGCAGGCAUGAAGUAGAGGAAGGUGAGGUGACAGGAGGUGUUGUGCUCCUCUCUGGGGAGGAGCUCUCCAGACGCAGGAGAAAAAAGAAGGAGGGAGAGGGAGAGAUGCAGCUUGGAUCAGGCUGUCAGCUCGGGGCACAUCUAAUUGAAUACGCGAUGCCAUUUGAAGUGGAGAGCAGAGCUGGAGCAGAGAAGAGAAGCAAAGCGUGGGGCAGGCGCAGCAGGAGAGCAGCCUUCACCAAACAAAAAGACAAAUCAAAGAGUGAACACAGGAGAUUCUCCAACAGAUAGUCCUGAUUGCCGCUCUGUGCUCAACAUCUCCCCGUAUUCUGUGUUUGCAAGAGGAAUAGGUGGAGGGGUGAAGGAGAAAGAGCAAAAAAAAAGAGCAAUUUCCUCGCUUAAAUUAUCAUUUUCAGCCUGAUUUGAAAACACACAAAGAGGCUAAAAAAAGGACGCAGGCUCGAACCUUGAUUUAGAGCAGGUUAAACGACCUCAGACUCGGCUUUGGAGAUUCGCUGAAGGCAGAAUGUGUGGGUGGAGGUCAGCGGCUGUUUCGGUAUUCAACUGGACUCCCAUAUGUAGCUUGGCAGAGCAGAGUGCUCAGGGGCAGCAGAGAAAAAAAUAUUACUCAGAAAUGGAAAAGAUCAAAUGGUGGCAUUUAACAAUCCGCAAAGAAAUGGUGUCAUGGAGGAGCGUCGUCUUUCUGCUCUCCUCUGGGCUAAGAGGAUGUGAUGUUCUGUCAGCAUUGUAAUUUAUUUCUCACACAGGUCACACCUGGGCAAUCAAACCAUAUACUUUACAGUACGGCCUCUUGCUAUAAUCCUCUAUUAAAGUCAUGCACAUAUACAGCAAAUGCUCAGUGAGCUAAAGGUAAGACUAUAGGCGAAUCCAGACUUUAUACCUUCAAGACACUGCACAUAACCAUAACCCUUUAUGCAAAAUGGAAGUAUCCGCCCGUAUCCACCUUUGCCAAUCUCUUUUGUACAGAAGUCUGCGUGUUAACCUUUGAAUCCACCAUUCCCGACCUGAAUAUCACCCGAGCUCACAUUUUUCAUUACCCACAUUUAUGAAUCUCUGAGACAGCCUGAGUGGAAGUGAAUAUUUAACAUGAUUUGCAUGAACAUUACACUUAACUGCGUAUUAGAGAAGCAGAGACGUAUUCAGUGCGCACACGAGAUGACAGGAGAGGAGGCAGAAGUGAUGGAUCGAUGCGUGAUUUCUAUUCCUGCAACAGCACCAUGUAAACAUUUGUUAUGCACCACUGCAGUAUUCCUCCCUCUGAAUAGUAAAUUUCUGAAUUGUUUGAUGUGAUAAACAGAUGUUCAAGAUGGUGAGUGAGCAGCUGCCACCGUUGAUAAUCUUAGUUGCUAAUUCUCUAAUCUGUAACUUGAGUGAAAAGUCUGUUUUUGUCCUCCUAAUGACUAAAUUCACACUGCAGCUAUAAUUCAUUCACAGUAUAAUGUUAAACUGCUGUAUUCCAGGUCAUAAAACGUAUAAAGGUAUCUGACAUUUGUUAUCAUUUCCCUGCUCCCUUGUUAAUCUCUAUUUAUAGAUCAGACAUUAAAUAUGCAGAAUAUGUUCACGGGGGUGGAUUUUCAGCACAGGAGGUGUUCUGAUUUCAUUUGAAGCAUGUUUGUAGUGUGAGCGGGACUGAGCGGGACUGAGCGGGACUGAGCGGUCAUGGAUGCAGGUAAAAUGACCUGUAUUGUUAAACUGAGGCUGGAGUUUAAACUGCCUACCGUUGAAAACAGUAUGUAGUUUGUAGGCUACUGCAUAGUUUUAAAGAUUGAAGACCGUGUCGAAUAAUUGUUCAAAAGCAAAGUUGGUGGCAAAAAUGCUUCUUGAGGGAGCUAGUCUACACUCCAGCCCAGUAGGGGGCAGUAAUGCAACUAAAAGCUGCAGUAGCUCGAUACAGCAUAGUAUCGUGAUAUUUUGUCUGGUGAUAUAUCGUAUCAUCUCAUUUACUAAGUAUCGAUUUUUUUCAUAGUAAUUGCAAAGAUUAAGUCAAAUCUAUGAUAAUGUAAAAAUAAAAACAACUGUUUGUCCAGCGAGGUUAGCAAAAGUGACAUCAUAGAGCAGGAGAAAGUUAGUAGCCGAAUGCUAAAUUAGCUUAACAGUUGAAAAAAUUGUAUAGAUCGCAGUCUAUUGUAUCGCUAUACUCAAUGUAUUGCAAGAUGUUAAAAAUCGCAAUAAUAUUGUAUCGUAGCCCAAGUAUCGUGAUAAAAUCGUUUCGUGGGGCUACAAGAGAUUCCCACACUUAGUAACUUUUCAGUAGAAAAGAGGUGAAAUCACAGAUAUAUAAAAAAGACUAGAUACACCAGGGCACUGUAGCAGCCCGCUAAGAUACGUGCCUACAUGUCAGCCAUCUUGGAGGGGGCAAUGUUCCCAUUAAGGGCAUAAGAUGUACACAGCGAAUAAAUCAUAUCUUGCCUAUUUCUCAACUGAUUUUCAUGAGGUGUACUUUAUUUUAAACGUCAAAAUGUGCUAUAAAUGCAGAACAUUUAAUUUUAUAUAUUUUUAAGUGUAUUCCAAGCACAUGUUUUGAUGUUGACAAUAGAGGAAACCGCCUGAAAUCAGUUGAGAAAUUAGCAAGUUAUGAUUUACUUUCAUUGUAAAUGUAUUGCCUAGAUGGUUGCCAUGUAGGCACGCAGCUGAUAUCUAUGGGUGAAAUGAUAACUAUUCGACAGAUACCCUGAAUUUAUACAAAAGCUGGAAAACAGAUAGCCAGUAUGUUCAAUCGUCGGCCUCUCCUUCUGUACAAUGUUUCUGUCCACAUGCUAACACAGGAAUGGUAACACUUAUAAUGCAGGAGAGAAAACAAGCUGUCAGGCAUGUUUGAUUGUUAAACGCAGCAGCUGAUUUCUGUGAAAACCUCUCAAUCGUUAGGUGAGGAGAAAUGAUGGAGAUAGGACUUUGUGAUUCUUUUUUCCUCCCCCCUGUUUGUACUUAGUUUUUAAUAUUUUUGAAGAAGGCAAUUCAGAUGGAAGAUGAAUCACUGAGUGACAACGUGACGGAUGCAUCUCUGUUUUUCAGGAUGAAUGAUGCAGCCGGAGAGGAUCACAGAGAGCGAAAUGUGAAACCCAGCAGCGGCUCAUAUAGAAGCUUUCCUGCUCGCUCCAGUUCCAGCCCUUCUUAUAUUUUUAUCAACCUCACUCCCACUAUUACAGUCACACCUCUGGCUAUUACACCGCAGACCUACCGGCAUGUCAGAAAAUGACUGGCAUUAAAUAUGACACAGUUGCCAUCAGAGCAGAGAGAGGGUCAUUUUCCUCUCGAGUGAAGUAGAUCCAAAAGUACAGGUUCCCAAAGUUCAUCCGUUAAUACUAAUUGCGUAAUUGCACAGACUCUGAAUGGUUAAAUAAUUUUAAAGAAGUGCUUUUCCCAGUUUCCUAGAGUCCAUCUUCUCAACUAGACAAAGCAAAACCCAAAGAUUUUUCUCACCGAAGGGGCUGGAUGAGGAUGAUUUCCACUGCUGGGACCAGAGGAAAGAUAAAAAUCAAGUGACUCACUGACUUUAUUUCAGUCUUUAGGACUUAAAUUUACUCCUCAAAGGGGUCCUGCGUGGGGAGUAGUACUGUCUGAAGUUGCAGAGACUUGCAGCGCUCAACAUUUUUGAUAGGUCAAGCACUCACUGCAUUGGGGAGACCUCUUAAUCCCUUGAAAGUGGUCCCUUGGGGUUCGAAGUCCUGGAUUCUUUCAGAGGAAAUGAGGAACAGAAGUAGUGCAUCACUUCAUGUCUCUCUAAGACUCUGGAAGUAGAAAAUGUGGUUUUUGUUUUGAGGAAUGAUUGAAACAGCGAACUCCAAAUAGUUUGUUAUAAACUGAUCCAUUAAUCACUUGAUUCAGUUUGGCUGCAGCUCUACUCCCACUGAAUUUCCAGAAGUCAGCUGGAUUGAGAUGACUGUACAACGCCAGAUUGCACAGAUGUACUAUUUCUCUUUAGUCUAAUAAACCAAACAGUCUGUCUCUCGGAGUUCCCCUGAAUCACUUCCUGUUCUUCUGACUGUAACUUCAGAUAUUUUCCAGCACAUCGGGGAUCUGCCGAGGUUAAAUCACUUGGUUCCAGACAAACGGUUUACUGCCCACAGCAAUGACAAGUACAGGAUUAAGAAGUCAUGCAGAAAAGGCUAACAUUGAACAUUGUUUGGAGUUGAGAUAUGUCUUUCCCAGGAGAUUUUCUGUCUGUUCGCCUACGGCAGCACGACCUGCCCACUCUUGGCUGUGUGCUGCCACUGCACUGGGAUCCUCCGUGGGGUUAUUGAUCCAAGCCUGUCCACCCACCAGAGGAUCCGAUAGCAGUUAACAUGAUGCAGAGUCCACAUAUUUAGAAGCCGGAGGGUAUCAGCGGAUCAAACUCUCAUCGGCAUAAUUGAGAGUGAUAGGGAUCAGUUAGAGCCAGGUAGACAUUGAUUAGGAGUGUGUAUAAACAGAUAGAGAGAUCAAUGGAGACGGGUCAAUGGAAAUUAUAAGCAUUUUAACAAGCACCAUUGAGUGACAGCAGGAGUUGAGAGGUGUUAUGGAUUGAUGCUGAGGCUAGUUUUACUGAGAGCACAUUAAAGCAAAUCAUCCUUAUUUGACAGAUUACUGAGCAUCAAACAUGUUGGGGCACAAACGCCAAUUUCCAAUAACAGCAAAACUAGGUCAUAAGUAUUUAUUCCUCUGAUCAAAGCUCCUGUGUGGAGUUUUUUAUGUCUAUACAAUAAACUGAAAUUCAAAUUGAUGCCUUUAUGUGAGAUUCAAAUGCAAACAAGACCAUCAGUAACAAGACGGAUGAUUGUCACAUUGUAUUUUUUAGUGCAAGUGGGUUGAGCAGCAGAAAAAACAGCUGAUUUAAUGUAGUUUUUCACUUAACUAAUACGUUUGGUUAGCAAAUUAUUAGAAUAAGAUUUUUCCAUGUGUAGUACAAGAGGAGUCAAUGCUGCUCUGUUCCCAAGGGGGCGCCAAAUUCAAAGUUCUUUACGGGAGCUUUAAAUAGGUGGAUCUAUGAGACCACUUCUUGUCAGAUAAAUUGCACUGUUCACACUUACAUGAAAAAAUCAGAUAUGUGUCACAUAUGGUUAAAAAAUCGGAAUUGACCUGCAGUGUGAACAUAGCCAAAGUCUCAUGCACAAUAUGAUGCAGCAGACAAUAUUCGGCACGAAAAUAUAAGGCCUUUUAAAUGAAUUAUUGAUUUAUUGUUUUUUUUAAUAUUUUUUUCAUUUCAUGAACCUGGAAAAACAAAUACAUCUAUACAACAUUUUAAAAUUCAAGAGAUGUGAAAAAAAAAGGUUAGGGAUUGAGUGAUUCAUUUCGGACACAGCCUUAGUUUUUCCCUGGUUUUGUUAUUUGAGUGAAUUUUCAUUGUGAUUUGUCCUCAGUGUUCCUGUUCCGCUGUAGUGUUGUCUUGUGAGUUUUCAGUUUGUCAUUGACCCUGUUCCUGUUCUCUGUGUUUUAUUCUUUAUAUCUGUUUUAAGUGUUUCCUGUUUUAUUUUGUAGUAGUUGAUUCCUUGUGUUUCUAGUCUGGUUUUACUUUCCUAGUUUUCCAACCUUUGUUAAUCAGUUAACGAGUUUCACCUGUGUCUCGUCUGCCUCACCUGUUGCUCGUUAUCCAGUGUGUAUAUAGUCAGUGUCUUCCCCUCUGUCCCUGUUGGUUCCCUCUAUGUUUGUCGUGUACGCUUAUGCCUGUGUCCCCAAAAUGGAUUUUGCCUUUUGGAUUUUUCUCUUUUUGUUGCUUUUUUAAACAUUUUGUUCUUUUUAAAUAAAUCCUUUUUUAUUGUUCUGCAUUUUGGGUCCUUCCCUGUUGAAGUUUUUGUCUUCAAUACAGCCUUGAAGUCUCCACAGAAACCUAGGCUGCUAUGGCUUAAGUUUGACACAGCUAAAUAAUUCCACUGUCCAGCCUGGACACUCAGACCACCUGUGGUUCUGUACUGAACAUAGCUUGUGUUACAUCUAUCUCCAGCCCUUCACUUUUACAGCUUCUACUACUACUUUUACUGUAGCUGCGUUCAAAUUUAUUAUGUCUAAUAACGUUUCUGUUGUGUCCUCUCAUGAAUCACUGUGUGCACUUUUACUACUUCUCCCCUGCAAAGAAAUAUUUUACACUAACAAGCCUUUGUGUCUGUUUGAUUAUUUCUUGGCCUACACAUCACUUCUUUAUUAGCGAAUUUACAUAUAACUGGUGUAAUGUUGGCAUCUCAUCAUUCAUUUUCUCUUUCUCUGAUAGCCCGCUCUACAUCAUUACACUUGAAUUUGGAGUGGUGCUCAAUCAAGCCUCAGGGUGUUAAUAAAAUAUGCCGGUUACUGAGAUGAGAUGAAUAAUCACAGGAGUCAAGUACAAUUUCCAACCCCAGCGGGUGGAGCGUGGGCAGUUUACGUCACUCUGCAGAGGAGGAGGUGUGCAUGUGUGUGUGUGUGGUGGUGGGGUUGUCUCGUGUCGGCUGUCUAUCAGGGUGGUGGGAUGUAAGGGGAAGGCAGGCUUGGCAUGGUGCACCAAACGAUAAGGUUUCUGCACCACUGUGGACAGCACUGAGGGAUUGUGGGAGAGCGCUUAUCAGUCUGUGUCAGGGUCUAUCAGCAUCUGUCAUGUUUACUCCUCAGGUGAGCUGGCUGCUGGCUGACUGCUCUGCCAAGGCUCCUUCAUAUCAGCCUACUGAGAGCAGACCAGGAGCACAAACAGAUACCCACCCACUGCAGCUGCAGACCAAAUCUCUCUCUUUUUGACCAAGUUUACUUCAACGCCUAAUCUCGCUUUUUUUAACUAUGAAACCCCUCCAGAACUCUUUUCACCAAUGUGCCACCACCCUUUCGUAUGAUAUCGACAGAACUCAUCAAAAUGAGGCCUUGACUUAUCUCUGCAUACGCUGCCUUUUAUCCAGUCAAAUAUUAUAACUCUCUGGUCUCUCGAUAUAUCCACACGGCACCAUUUUCCACUGGUUUACUCUCAAGGUCGGACACUGAAAUAGUGAUAAUGAUUAGACUGCUGGCAGUCGAAUACCAUGGACUAUCUGGCAAUUGUUCAUUUCACUGCUUCCAGAGUGAUCAGCGUGUGACCGGAUUCUGGCACGAGUAAUGAUAGGAGUGCUGGCCACUGACAUUAAUUGUACAAAGGAAACUGCCCAGGAGGGCUGCAAACUAAUCGAAAUCAGGUUCAUUGCAAGUACGUUUACACAAAGCGGGCUUCUGGUGCAAAAAAAAACAAAGAACAUAAAAGUAGAAAAUAAAGUUGAAAGCUACCAUCAUGGGUGUAGUGAUUUGAAAUGAGCCUCAUACGGUCGCACCAAAAUAUAUGUAGCGAUUUGAAAUGAGCCUCACCAGGCCGCACCAAAAUAAUACUUGGCGAUUGGAAUUUAUAAUAAAUGUCUGAAGAUUAAUAAUCUCAAAUUAUGACAUUUAUGCACUCGUUGAAAGGGGCACCACCCACCCUUAAUGGUGGGAAAAUAAAGAAAACAAAAGUUUAAUUCAGAAAUCAAACAUCAAGUCAGUUUUAAUUAAUCAGUCUUAAUUAAUCAGUCUUAAUUAAUCAGUCUCAUAUCUUAAGUCGAAAUUCUAAUUUCAGGGACUCCACUUCUGGAAGAACACUAACAGACAGGAACUUAGAAAAAUAAUGAUCUGUUUAUUACAGGAUAAAUGAUGGUACAACACACAUGCAAUAAAUGAUAAGAUGAUGAAGAUAAAUAAUAAUAGGUGAAUAAAUAAAGAUUCUGAGUCAGGCUAGGAGCACUAAAGUUAAUGAUAGUGAGUGAAUAUGCGCGAACAUAUUAACCUACACUAACUUUGGUGUCGAGAUAAACUCGGGUGUAGAUUUGGAGGAAUCUAAGAUCACCAGAAAUAGGUGGAUAUCUGAGUUAUGAACGCGUGAGACAGCAUCAGCCCUGUCUGGAGCUCUGGAGGUUUGCAUACUUAAGUGAGACUGGUCCUUGGAGAAGAUGGAGCAGGUUCCGAAGGUCCGGGGCUACUGGCGGUUCGAGCGGUUCAGCUCAGAAGACGACUGAAGUCAGCCGAAGGAUGAGCCAGGAGUUGCAGCACUCGGGCCCGAAGCAAAGCCAGCGCCUGUGGAUCCUGUGGAUGCUCGUUUGGGUACUUCUUUGGUCUCACUCAAAAACUCUGGCACAGAGGAUGACCUGGGCCUGCUGGGUUGCGUUCAGAGGUGACUUUGAAAUCACGCAGAAAACUCAGAAAAACGAGGCUCGAAGAGCAGAGAAAACUUUCAAAAAUGGCUUCGCGAAAUUAAAGAAAAAUCAAUCAAAGGCUUAAUCUUGAAUUGCUAUGCACACAAAAAGUUGAAGUUUCAAACUUGAACUAAGACGAUGUUAAAGAAAAAUCAACGUGAAUCAACACGUGGCGUAAAACUUAGAAGACUAAGAAAAAGUUCUAAGAGAAAACAAAGAAACGCACCACAGAAGGGUGUGGACAGAAGAGAAGGGGCAUAAGAGCCGGGGACAAGAGAGUCAGCAGAAGAGCAGAAGCAUAAGAGGAAAGUAAGAGGCAUAAGAGAGUGAGCAACCCCACUUCACUGGUUUUAUCUUCUCACACUGGGUGUGUCUCCGGCGUGUGGGUGUGAGGAGACAGAGGAGGGGUCGUGUGGUCUUUGAUUAUUUGAUCUAACUUAUUCUUUUGGCUGGCAAAAGAGUCAGAUCUGAUACUCACUCACUAUGAUUAAUAUCAUUGAAUGUUUGGUUUCAUGAUAAAUAAUUUGAUACUAAACACAUAUGAAUGAAGUGUAGGAUCACAUCAAACAUUCUCAUUAUGUUUUAAGUAUCACAUUGAACAUGCUAAAUUACUCUGAAAUGAAACAGAUAGUAACACAUGGAAACUGUGAACAACAAAAGAGUAAAUACAUGUGAAUGAACGUCAUCAUGAUUAAUAAUGGAUUCUAAAUACUCACAUUAAGGUUAUUCAAUGACAUUAUAACCACCUAAUGGUUAAAAAUACUAAAUAAACGAUUAGAAUAUAGACCAAACAUUUCUAAACUAUUUCUGUGUUCAUAGAGUAAAGUUAUGAUCCAUAGUCAAUAAAUGUAACUCUUAAAAGUUCAUGAAACAGUCUGAAAAGCUGUUGGUCUAAAGAACUAAAGAGCGAUAACUCGGCUUCUGGAGCACAUAGAAAAAUGGGAAACAUCUCAUUUUAACACAAAUUUCAUGAUUAGACAGAUUAGUACAUUGCUGAAUGCAUAAGAUGUCAUGAUCAGUCAUUUGUAUUCUUUCACCAAAGGAAUGCAGUCUUUAUCAGUGUAUGGUCGAGCAGGGUUUUACGACCGAGGUCUGGAGGUCAGUGUCCCCCCUUAUCCUGGGGUCCGUAUGUUCACACACUUUAAGACGCUAAAUCUCAAAUGGGAGAUCUGGGUUAAUGUUUAUUUAGAUGGUCAGCAAAUGGAGUCAGUUUGAAAGGUAAUAAAAACUCUGUCUCUGUUCGCCGAACUGACCAAUCCUGAAGAGUCAGAGGUUUAGUCAACCUCCGGUUGGGUCACUUAUUUAACCUGAAAGGGCAAACACGUCUGGAAAGAUUUAUAUCCUGUUUCCUGGGACCAGAUAAGGAAACUUUCCUGUAAGGAAUGUGUGGGUUUCACAUCCAGGGUUGUCUUGAUUGCUACAGUCCCCCCUUCGUCACGGUGGUCCUGUCCAUGGAGCAUCGGGACGACGAGUAGACAACCAUGAAGCAGCAGCAGGUGUAUGCAAAUAGGACUGAUGCGUCUCGUCAUCACUAUGUGAAUCACUAGUACUGCUUUGAGAUAAAAUUAAGCAUGCAUUAAGCUAUCAAAUAAAAUAGUCUUGUUGUUAGACUUUUCUCAGUUAACUAUUGGUAGACUAAUGUGAAAGAAAAUCUCCUAAUUUUCAGUAUUAAUGAGAUUUAGGAAAGCACUAUUUAGUCUGAAUGCUAACUGGAUCUAAAGCUAUAGCUGUUUUUCAUGCUUGCUGGAGAAGUCUGAAAGUUCCAUUUCAGUUUCAAAAAUGGUUAAGACUUAGGUGGAAAAGAAAUGUCUGCUAUAGACAUAUUAACCAUCUGUGUAUGAGCAUAGUCAACCUGAAUCACAAACAUCAAAAGUUUACUGCACAGAGUUUCUCUUAAACUUUGUCUGUUAAACUUGGGGAUGAUGCUCUUAUUGGUUUGACUAAUUAUCUGCUGUUGAGUCUGAAAUUUGUCAAUCUGAGUCUUAGUGACAGAAAUUUCAGGUUUUAAUCUGUUCAUGGGAUAUUUGACAGCUGACAAGCUGACUAUAUUGACAGAGGAGAGACAAAUGCUAACAAAGAAAGCAGCAACUGGUAUUGCAGUCAUCAAUGUAUCACCACAGCAUUUGGAUAUCUUAUUGGAGUCAUUUAGCUUUGGCUGAGUGACUUCUGCUUUCGCAGGACUCACACCUUCAUGACUCCGCAGUGUUAAUCUCAGUGGUUAGCUGAGUGGUCAUGUUUAUUCACCUUCAAAGUGGAUGAAACCGAUUGAGGUGGAUAAUAAGAUCGUCGUUUCUGAGAGUGUGAUUUACUCUGAUUCUGCCAGUCAUUCACCCCACUUUGGCGGUGUUGAUGGUUUUUCCUUUGUCUGGGACAAAACCCACCGUGACGGGAGUCUGAAUAACAACAGUUGGUCUCAAAGUUUACCUGGCAUUGGUCUGAGUCAGACCUGGGCCUUGGUGUGUAACUUUGACCUUUGUGAGUUUGUUGAGGUCGAAAAGGUUUUGGAGGCCUGGUUAACCACUCAUUUGGAGGCUUAUUGGAGCCUGAAAAUACACAGUCUGAAGCUUCGUUCAGCUCCACGGGCAGUGAUUUUGUCUCCAUAGCCAAGAGAGUAACGGGCUCUGCUUUCUUAGCCAAAGUUUGUCGUUGUUUGGCAAAACCUUUUACAGCAAGUUCACGAAGCUGUCGGCUAGUCAAAGUAUUUGGACAAGCUAAGACGCCAAGGUGAUGACUGGUGGUAGGGUGGAGGUUCUGGACGAACAGCGUUUUGAAGUUCAAGUCCUCCUCCAUUUCUGGUUCAUUUCGGAAACCAAAGUAAGCUUCGCGUAAGCGGUUGUAAUAAUGUUGGGGAGAUUCUAAUCUCCCUUGUUUAAUAGACAGAGCAGCAGAGAGGCCUGUCUGGGUCAAAUGAUCAGAAAACUCUUCAAUUAAUGCUUGGCAGAGCAAGUCAUAAUUAUUUCUGACAUGAUAAGGCUGUCGUUCAAGGAAACUGCUAACCUCUCGACUUGACGUUGCCUUAAUAAGGUAGAUUUUGUCAUCAAUGGUUGCACCUGGAAAUUUCCUCAGGUAAAAGUCAAUGUCUUUCAAGUAGGUGCAGGUGUCAGUAGCACCUUGGUGCUCAGGUUCAAAGCGUGCUAUGUUGCGAGCAAUUUUGUCAAGAUCCCUGUCUGAGGGAGAUGGUAAGAAGCCAUCAUGAGGAGGAGAGUAGGACUCUUGAUUUAAGGAUGACCUCUCAGGGUCAAGCAGGGUCCUGUCAUGAUGCUGAGAGAGAUACUUAAGAGUUGGUUUGGAAGGAAGUGAUGGCGCUCUCUCAGGAGGCUGAUCACCUAUCAUUUCUUUAAGAAACGUUUGCUCCAUGCGUUCUCUUUGGGCUCGACCUGACUGGAGGGAGCAUUGUAACUCUCUUUGGGCAUCUUCAAGUUCUUUGUCUGUCUUUUCUUGCCGUUCUUGACAAAGAAUUAACUGUCUUUGAGCUAUCUGGAGCUGGUGCUGUAAGGUAGAAGUUUGCUUCUCCUUAACUUCAAGAGCUUCAGCACGCACUUUGACCAGUGCUUUCAAAGCUUUUACAUCUCCUGUUGCUUGCUCUAGCAGGGAUUCUGACUGUAUCAGAUCCUCUGUGGUCUUAGCAAGCUGCUUAUUCGUGUCAUCAAGUUCUUUCUCCUUUUUGUAAAGGGUCUCAUUAAGUCUUUCAAUCUUGUCUUUAAGAUCAAGAUUUUCUUCAUGACUUAUCAGUGAGGGAAGCUUUGACGCUUCACAUCUGACACUGUGUUUUCCUAAAACACUUAGAGACUUCUUAGUCUCUUCUAGCGUCUUUUUCAGAGCGCUGUUUUCGUCUUUUUGUGCCUUUAUCUUUGCUAAAGCGCAUUCCAGCAAGUAGUCUUUAUACUCAAGCUGAGAAGACAUCAUGACAGACAUGCAUCUAGUGAGCUCUUUGUCACGAAGUGUCGUGGUUAAGGCUGUUUCCAGUAAGUCAGCCAUUUCAUCCUCCGGAUUGGAGGGUUUGGCCUUUUGAAUCUUAGUCAUGUACUGAGGUAUCAGCUGACUAGUCAAGUUUGCCAACACUGUGGGUAUGUCCCUCAGGGGGUCUCCCUGGCUGGACUCUUUUGUGUUAGGCAUGUUUGGUUUUGGUAAAGAGGUGCAGCUGGUUGGUUGAUGAGUUUGAGUUGACUUAAAAUAAAAGGAAGAAGCAAAAUAUCAAAUUAAGUGGGUUAAUCGACUUAAUUUAUCAGUGCUUGAUAAAGAGAAAGAGCCUAUCUGAGUAGAUCUCUAAUGGAGAGAAAAAUAACAUAAAGUUAAAUUCAUUUCAAUGAAAAUUGAAAGAAAAACAAGGUGAAAUAAUGUUAAAUUAAAUUUAACAUCAGAUACAGAACCAUUGAAUAAAGGGUUCAAUUUGUCUCCGUGUUGCAGAGAUCAGCAAAGAUUAAAUAAACUGCCUGAUGCAGUAGGAUGAAUUGGAAAAGAUCUAUGAAAUUGUCAAUUUAAGGAAUUAACUCUGAAAUUAAUUCACAAAUUGCAAUAAAUCCAAAGGUUCAACUACCCAAAUCCAUCUGGAAUGUUAAAAGAAAUUUCAAAUAUUAAUUAAUUUGUGCAUUAAUUAAUUAAUCUUAUGAGGAGGGUUAAUACAUUCAUGUAUUAUAGGGAACAGUAAACUGCUCAAUGGUGUGAUAAGUAACAACAAGAUCAGGUGAUUGAUUCAAGGAGUUACUUUAUCAAUACAUUAUGGAGGCUCUUAUAACAAAGAUAAAAAUCAAAAAUCAAUGAUCAAUGAUUUAGAAUAAGCACAUCAAACUUCAUCAACCAAGUCAAUCACUUGAGUUAUGUCUGUAGAGUGUUACACACUGACUACAGAGAGGCAGUACAGCUAGCUGAUACUGCAGGCAGAUAAUAGCAGUGUUAGCUCAAUACCAAAAGCAACCAUGUGGGGCAGUAUGGAGUUGGGAGAACUGCACAAGCUCAACACAAGUGGAGAAGAAGAAGCAAAGAGGAAACAGUCAUCCAACUAGCCUCUUGUGGCUGUGAGGAGUUGGGAAGUCUGCAGGAAGGGGCCUUUAGGCUCUGCCUCCUCGAAGGGCCUUAUCUGCUUAAGGCCAAAUGGUCAGUCUCUACACUGACAACAAAGGGUUAACAUUUCACAGCAGGAUCGUCUGCACCCUCAAACAUAGAACUUUACACCAUCUGCUCAGGCAGAUUGGUUCAAUAAAAUCAUUUACAGGAACAAGGAUCAAAGUGGCAAAUCCUUAAACAGCAGAUUCAACUGCAGACUUUAAAAUCACAAAUGCUGCGAUUUGUGAUCACGAAUUUUGUCUGAAUUCAUUCAAACAACAACCUCCCACUGUUACAGUGGUUUCCUGUGACAGGUAGCUAAUCUGUCAGGGGAAAGGAGGAAAUCUGAAUCCCGUAUAGUUACUAGAACCUCGUAGCAGACUACAGAGACUUCAGGGGCUUGAAACCACAGCUCGGAGCAUCGCGAACACUGGGUUCAGCCAAAGGCCUUAAAUACAAGCGUACGGCGACGCAACAAUCGUGCACUUAAAUAUUGGACAGUCUAGACAGAGCAGAGGAGUCAGUCUCACUGCUACUCAGAACAACAUUUCACGCUGUCCAGCUCAAACACAGACUACAGGCAUGUAGUACAAAAGUGUGUGAAACACAGAGCAUAAAGGUUUUAUGCAUAGAUCAGGAAAACAUCAGAACUUAGUCAAGCAACUUCAGCAAGCAUAGCAUUGAUUGUGAUCAAGUCUAAAAUAGCCUGGAAAUAAGUUUCUCUCAUCAAUUUGGAAGGCUAAGUUUUAGGUUGUCUGUUAGUAUCCAGAAGUUUUGUUUGAAACGCCUCACGCAGGGGCACCAAAAUAUAUGUAGUGAUUUGAAAUGAGCCUCAUACGGUCGCACCAAAAUAUAUGUAGCGAUUUGAAAUGAGCCUCACCAGGCCGCACCAAAAUAAUACUUGGCGAUUGGAAUUUAUAAUAAAUGUCUGAAGAUUAAUAAUCUCAAAUUAUGACAUUUAUGCACUCGUUGAAAGGGGCACCACCCACCCUUAAUGGUGGGAAAAUAAAGAAAACAAAAGUUUAAUUCAGAAAUCAAACAUCAAGUCAGUUUUAAUUAAUCAGUCUUAAUUAAUCAGUCUUAAUUAAUCAGUCUCAUAUCUUAAGUCGAAAUUCUAAUUUCAGGGACUCCACUUCUGGAAGAACACUAACAGACAGGAACUUAGAAAAAUAAUGAUCUGUUUAUUACAGGAUAAAUGAUGGUACAACACACAUGCAAUAAAUGAUAAGAUGAUGAAGAUAAAUAAUAAUAGGUGAAUAAAUAAAGAUUCUGAGUCAGGCUAGGAGCACUAAAGUUAAUGAUAGUGAGUGAAUAUGCGCGAACAUAUUAACCUACACUAACUUUGGUGUCGAGAUAAACUCGGGUGUAGAUUUGGAGGAAUCUAAGAUCACCAGAAAUAGGUGGAUAUCUGAGUUAUGAACGCGUGAGACAGCAUCAGCCCUGUCUGGAGCUCUGGAGGUUUGCAUACUUAAGUGAGACUGGUCCUUGGAGAAGAUGGAGCAGGUUCCGAAGGUCCGGGGCUACUGGCGGUUCGAGCGGUUCAGCUCAGAAGACGACUGAAGUCAGCCGAAGGAUGAGCCAGGAGUUGCAGCACUCGGGCCCGAAGCAAAGCCAGCGCCUGUGGAUCCUGUGGAUGCUCGUUUGGGUACUUCUUUGGUCUCACUCAAAAACUCUGGCACAGAGGAUGACCUGGGCCUGCUGGGUUGCGUUCAGAGGUGACUUUGAAAUCACGCAGAAAACUCAGAAAAACGAGGCUCGAAGAGCAGAGAAAACUUUCAAAAAUGGCUUCGCGAAAUUAAAGAAAAAUCAAUCAAAGGCUUAAUCUUGAAUUGCUAUGCGCACAAAAAGUUGAAGUUUCAAACUUGAACUAAGACGAUGUUAAAGAAAAAUCAACGUGAAUCAACACGUGGCGUAAAACUUAGAAGACUAAGAAAAAGUUCUAAGAGAAAACAAAGAAACGCACCACAGAAGGGUGUGGACAGAAGAGAAGGGGCAUAAGAGCCGGGGACAAGAGAGUCAGCAGAAGAGCAGAAGCAUAAGAGGAAAGUAAGAGGCAUAAGAGAGUGAGCAACCCCACUUCACUGGUUUUAUCUUCUCACACUGGGUGUGUCUCCGGCGUGUGGGUGUGAGGAGACAGAGGAGGGGUCGUGUGGUCUUUGAUUAUUUGAUCUAACUUAUUCUUUUGGCUGGCAAAAGAGUCAGAUCUGAUACUCACUCACUAUGAUUAAUAUCAUUGAAUGUUU